CUUUAUAUACAUUAUUAGUGCUUUAUUUAAAUUAUUACACUAUUGAACAUUAUAUUUGUGUUUUUACUUCAGUUUUACUUAGGCACACCUUUCAUUCUGAAGAAAACAAACUUAUAUACAUUUUCAAGUUUAAUAGGUUUAUUAGAAAAUAAUAAUUGCCGCAUUAUCCUGUAAUGAAAACAAAAUCUAAUUGUUUCUGGAUCUAGGCGCUAGGGGCAGAAUUCUGCCAUCUGCUGGUUAAAGAAAAUCCUGUAGGAAUGACUAAAAGUCAAUUCUUAUAACUCAACCCUCCAAACAGAUGCAUUAAAUGAUCUUCGACAUAAACAGCAAAUAACUUGCAUGUGUAUGCGCUGAUCAGUUCUGAACUGUCUGCAAGCGCAGUGUCAGAUUUCAGCUACGCGCGUCGUGCGCGAGUAAUUAGAAUGCGCGUGAACGCAGCAUUUUAAACUUCAACCGUUACGGACGUCCGUUUGAGCUCAGCGCUCGAGAGGACGACGAUUAAAUUGAAUCAAAAAGAAGAAAUGUGGUUUACGGUGCUGUCCGGGCCUGCGCUAUUCUCCGCCAGGAGAAAACACAUAAGAAAACGAUGUUUCAGGAGCAGUCAAAUCACGUGAUCACUGUACACCCAGACUGUUAUAAAGAUGAAUUCAAGAGAAACCCCGAAGAACAAAGAGAGGAGGUGAUGAAGAUGCUUCUUCUGUGGAUAUAGCUAUGCAUUAGGAAGAUGAAGAAAAGACCUUCAACUGCAAACCAAUGACACAAAAAAAAAUUGACUCUGGAGUGCAGCAUUACUUCAGUAAGAUGAAAAUAACACACCUGUAUGAUUCAAGAUGUCAGGCCCCCUGAACGCAAAGAGAGUCAGCAUCAAAAUGGACGUGCCCCUAAUUGAAAACACAGAGAUGUCAAAAGUAUCUGUUGGCUGUAUACUUUUUGUUCAAUAUGGAGCAUCCAAAUGCCAGUUUCUUUCAUUCAGCACUAUUUAGCCCUUCUCAGUACUGAAUUUGCCGCCAUGGGUCAUUUGUUUUUAUUGUUUAAAUGCUUAUCUGAAUAUUAAAUUAUCAUUUAACGCUCAUGAAUU
Molecule: long non-coding RNA, 1078 nt
Organism: Megalobrama amblycephala (Wuchang bream)
Lineage: Eukaryota; Metazoa; Chordata; Actinopteri; Cypriniformes; Xenocyprididae
Exons: 6
Source: RefSeq, a predicted model, not a curated record